Molecule: ribosomal RNA, 429 nt
Filed under: bacterium
Lineage: Bacteria
Description: partial 16S ribosomal RNA
Rfam family: Bacterial small subunit ribosomal RNA
Source: RNAcentral
UGGGGAAUCUUCCGCAAUGGACGAAAGUCUGACGGAGCAACGCCGCGUGAGUGAUGACGGCCUUCGGGUUGUAAAGCUCUGUUAAUCGGGACGAAUGGUUCUUGUGCGAAUAGUGCAAGGAUUUGACGGUACCGGAAUAGAAAGCCACGGCUAACUACGUGCCAGCAGCCGCGGUAAUACGUAGGUGGCAAGCGUUGUCCGGAAUUAUUGGGCGUAAAGCGCGCGCAGGCGGAUUGGUCAGUCUAUCUUAAAAGUUCGGGGCUUAACCCCGUGAUGGGAUGGAAACUGCCAAUCUAGAGUAUCGGAGAGGAAAGUGGAAUUCCUAGUGUAGCGGUGAAAUGCGUAGAUAUUAGGAAGAACACCAGUGGCGAAGGCGACUUUCUGGACGAAAACUGACGCUGAGGCGCGAAAGCCAGGGGAGCGAACGGG